GUUUCUGAGCCCAUAAAUGAUUAACCUUGUUUUUUUUUUUCUUUGAGAAUGGGUCUCGCUAUGUAGCUCAGGCUGACCUCAAACUUGCAGCGAUCCUCCUGCCUCAGCCUCCAAGUGCUGGGAUGACAAGUGUGUUUUUUUCGGCUGACUUUUUUUUUUUUUUGGUACCAGGGAUUGAACUCAGGUCCUUGCACUUGUGCAGCAGGUGGCGAAACCACUGAGCUAAAUCCCCGGGCUUCGGCUGACCUUUUUAAAAAGUUUGAUGCCUGAUCAUAUUCCAUGAAACCUUUGAAUACUUUUUUUUGGGUACCAGGUAUCAAACUCAGGACCUUGGCUUUUGAAGCAGGAAGCAGCACCACUGAGCUACAUUCCUGGCCCAAACCUUUAAAUACUUUAAGGAGUGAUUACUCCACCUCCUAAGUACCAUCCACACCCAGGUAAGCCCAGGUUAAAGGAAGGACAGGUAGACAGGGAGGAUCCAGAACGGGGAUGGGAAAUAAGCACCCCAAGGUCGCCCAGGAUGUGGCUUCUCUUGUGACCCAGGAAGAUGUGCGACCCGGGAUCCACACAGCGAUGGAGCAGCAGGCGAGGACCCCUCAUCAGCGCUGGCCGCUGGGCGCCUCCUUGCCCAAGCUCCUGCUGCCGCCCACUGUGGGCUGCCGGUCUUCUCAGGGCUGCUAUAACAAAUCACUGUCGCUGGUGGCUUACGAUAGCAGAGCAGGAUAAUCCCGAGAUUCUUGCUCCCAGCACAGAUUCGCGAGGGGAAGGAAUGAGUUUAGCCAAGACCAACAGGAAGCUGGACGGCCGCCCCAUGGCCAGGAGAAGCCAGGGGUUUCACCCCAGCUCCCUCUGCGCCUGUUGGCGCUGCUCCCCAGCCCACUGAACACGCCUACUUUGGAUUGCUGUGAACACGACCACCGUUCACCACUGGCCCGCCUGGCGACUGCCUCUCCAC
This 955-nucleotide long non-coding RNA is filed under the name Heterocephalus glaber (naked mole-rat). RNAcentral's name for it is "lncRNA (ENSHGLG00100044387.1)". Lineage: Eukaryota; Metazoa; Chordata; Mammalia; Rodentia; Bathyergidae. The record is from RNAcentral.